This 497-nucleotide ribosomal RNA is filed under the name uncultured bacterium. RNAcentral describes it as "partial 16S ribosomal RNA". It matches the Rfam family "Bacterial small subunit ribosomal RNA", at positions 28 to 507 of the family's 1533-position model. The record is from RNAcentral.
GAUGAACGCUGGCGGCGUGCCUAAUACAUGCAAGUCGAGCGAACAGACGAGGAGCUUGCUCCUCUGACGUUAGCGGCGGACGGGUGAGUAACACGUGGAUAACCUACCUAUAAGACUGGGAUAACUUCGGGAAACCGGAGCUAAUACCGGAUAAUAUAUUGAACCGCAUGGUUCAAUAGUGAAAGACGGUUUUGCUGUCACUUAUAGCUGGAUCCGCGCCGCAUUAGCUAGUUGGUAAGGUAACGGCUUACCAAGGCAACGAUGCGUAGCCGACCUGAGAGGGUGAUCGGCCACACGAGAACUGAGACACGGUCCAGACUCCUACGGGAGGCAGCAGUAGGGAAUCUUCCGCAAUGGGCGAAAGCCUGACGGAGCAACGCCGCGUGAGUGAUGAAGGUCUUCGGAUCGUAAAACUCUGUUAUUAGGGAAGAACAAAUGUGUAAGUAACUAUGCACGUCUUGACGGUACCUAAUCAGAAAGCCACGGCUAACUACGUG